UACGAAGGGGGCUAGCGUUGUUCGGAUUUACUGGGCGUAAAGCGCACGUAGGCGGAUCGUUACGUCGGGGGUGAAAUCCUGGAGCUCAACUCCAGAACUGCCUUCGAUACUGAGAGUCUCGAGUCCGGGAGAGGUGAGUGGAACUGCGAGUGUAGAGGUGAAAUUCGUAGAUAUUCGCAAGAACACCAGUGGCGAAGGCGGCUCACUGGCCCGGUACUGACGCUGAGGUGCGAAAGCGUGGGGAGCAAACAGG
RNAcentral lists this ribosomal RNA (253 nucleotides) under uncultured bacterium. RNAcentral's name for it is "partial 16S ribosomal RNA". It matches the Rfam family "Bacterial small subunit ribosomal RNA", at positions 524 to 776 of the family's 1533-position model. The record is from RNAcentral.